UACGAAGGGUGCUAGCGUUGUUCGGAAUUACUGGGCGUAACGGGCGCGUAGGCGGCUUGGCAAGUUGGAUGUGAAAGCCCAGGGCUCAACCCUGGAAUUGCAUUCAAGACUGCCUUGCUUGAAUUCGGUAGAGGUUGGUGGAAUUCCCAGUGUAGAGGUGAAAGUCGUAGAGAUGGGGAAGAACAGCCGUGGCGAAGGCGGCCAACUGGACCGACAUUGACGCUGAGGCGCGAAAGCGUGGGGAUCAAACAGG
This 253-nucleotide ribosomal RNA is filed under the name uncultured bacterium. RNAcentral describes it as "partial 16S ribosomal RNA". It matches the Rfam family "Bacterial small subunit ribosomal RNA", at positions 524 to 776 of the family's 1533-position model. The record is from RNAcentral.